CUCGCCCAGGCGAAAAAACUGCGAUUUUGCGUCAACUUGCGAAGGUUGUAUCUCUCAAAUCAGAAUUACUAUUGAGGCGUGUGACCUAUUAUUGGAAAGAGCUUGAAAUCUUGUUUCCAACCUGUAAUAUCCUAAAAAUGUAAACGUGUUUAAGUGAAUAAUUAAUUGUAAUAAGUAGUUAAAAUAUAUUUUAUCGUUUCAAUAAUUCAGCAAAAUACAGUAAAACGAAUAUAGAAUUUAUUAACUUAAAUUUUGUUAAUACCUAAGUGUCAAUAAUUUAUAUUUCACGAUUUCAUGAAUUAAUCAAGGUUAGUUUUUGUUGUUAAAUCACUAAAGCACAAAAUACCAACAUUUCACCAAACUUUUGCAAAGCCACAUGAAGAUUGAUGAAGAGUGGAGCAAAUUUCAGAUUUUUGGUUAAAAAAUAAAAAGGUAAAAAAAAAAAAAAAGAGAAAAAGCUUCCAUGGUCAACUACUCAAUAACUUUGCCUUCUUCCUUACUCUUCCAUGGGCACUUGGAAAGCAUGCCACCACCCUCCAUUCUUUUCCUCUGUGAAAAACCUGUCACCAAUGCAUCUUCUUAGCUUCCCCAAGUCAGAAAUUCAGAAAUAUUUACUCCUUCCUUCCCAGCUACUGAAUUAGUGUUCCUAAUUCCCUAUAAAUGGCCAUGAAAUCCAUUACCAAGAACAAAACAAUUCUAGAAACUUCCUCCUCUCAUCUCUUACUUCACCAACACCUACGAACCACCUUGCAAACACCACAAAUUUCAGUCAAUAAUUCGCCGGAAAACGUGACCCAAAGAAACCAAAAAAGAAAACCCCAAAUUUUCUCUAUUUCCUCUGUUUCGGGGCUUCCACAGCACCAACACCGGUUACCGCCGGUCGUGCGACAAUUGCGCCGCGCUCAGCCGACCUCCCCCAGCCUCAUUGUCGCUCGCCGGCCACUGGACGCUCGCCGGAGCUCCGCCACACCUGCAUGCACUCAUGUUCUCUCUUUCUUGCACUCUCUUUCUCGCUCCUCUUUGCCGCACGUAGUUGUACAUGUACAACACCGCCAAACCGCGCCACACCGCCGGAGAUCGAUGUCGCUGCUCGCCGCCGACCACCAGAGAUGGAAUCGAAGCCACGUUACUUCGCUUCGUCACCCCUACUCUUAGUAGCAGAGUUUUUUAAUAUCACCACCACCUCUUCGGUUCGUUCGUCGCUCGCCAGAUCCUAUCGUUCUUCGUCGCUCGUCAGAUCCGGCCGUUCUUCAUCGUUCGCCAGAUCCGACCAUUUUUCAUCGCUCGCGAGAGUCGGCAGUUUGAUGGCGUUCAUUCGCAAGUGAUGUUCCCAGGCAUUGUCAAGGCACAAUGUACAUGCUACUGUUAUUAUGUGUAAUUUUUUAGUUUAUUCAAGUUUGGUAAUCGUUUGUUGUU
Long non-coding RNA from Beta vulgaris subsp. vulgaris (sugar beet), 1416 nucleotides. RefSeq lists it as uncharacterized. The record is from RefSeq and is a predicted model, not a curated record. The transcript is spliced from 2 exons. NCBI's taxonomy places the organism in Eukaryota, Viridiplantae, Streptophyta, Magnoliopsida, Caryophyllales, Amaranthaceae.